Small nuclear RNA from Microtus ochrogaster (prairie vole), 188 nucleotides. Its record names the gene U2. It matches the Rfam family "U2 spliceosomal RNA". From Rfam's summary of the family: U2 is a small nuclear RNA (snRNA) component of the spliceosome (involved in pre-mRNA splicing). Complementary binding between U2 snRNA (in an area lying towards the 5' end but 3' to hairpin I) and the branchpoint sequence (BPS) of the intron results the bulging out of an unpaired adenosine, on the BPS, which initiates a nucleophilic attack at the intronic 5' splice site, thus starting the first of two transesterification reactions that mediate splicing. NCBI's taxonomy places the organism in Eukaryota, Metazoa, Chordata, Mammalia, Rodentia, Cricetidae. The record is from Ensembl.
ACUGCUUCUUGGCCUUUUGGCUAAGACUCAGCAUAGUACCCGUCCUUUCCAGUUUAAUAUACUAUGUCCUCUGUCCAAGAAUAACAUAUGCAAUGAGUUUCUGAAGCAGGGAGAUGGAAAAGGAGCUUGUUACAUCCAUGUCACACAUCAACCUGGAACUGGAGAACCUCAGGAACAAUGCACCCUUC